This 252-nucleotide ribosomal RNA is filed under the name uncultured bacterium. Its description in RNAcentral is "partial 16S ribosomal RNA". It matches the Rfam family "Bacterial small subunit ribosomal RNA", at positions 524 to 776 of the family's 1533-position model. The record is from RNAcentral.
UACGUAGGGGGCGAGCGUUGUCCGGAUUUAUUGGGCGUAAAGGGUUCGCAGGCGGUUCUUUAAGUCAGAUGUGAAAGAUCACGGCUCAACCGUGGUAAGCAUUUGAAACUGAAGAACUUGAGUUAAGGAGAGGAAAGUGGAAUUCCUAGUGUAGCGGUGAAAUGCGUAGAUAUUAGGAGGAAUACCAGUGGCGAAGGCGACUUUCUGGACUUAUACUGACGCUGAGGAACGAAAGCGUGGGGAGCAAACAGG